GAUGAACGCUGGCGGCGUGCCUAAUACAUGCAAGUCGAGCGAACGGACGAGAAGCUUGCUUCUCUGAUGUUAGCGGCGGACGGGUGAGUAACACGUGGAUAACCUACCUAUAAGACUGGGAUAACUUCGGGAAACCGGAGCUAAUACCGGAUAAUAUUUUGAACCGCAUGGUUCAAUAGUGAAAGACGGCCUUGCUGUCACUUAUAGAUGGAUCCGCGCUGCAUUAGCUAGUUGGUAAGGUAACGGCUUACCAAGGCAACGAUGCAUAGCCGACCUGAGAGGGUGAUCGGCCACACUGGAACUGAGACACGGUCCAGACUCCUACGGGAGGCAGCAGUAGGGAAUCUUCCGCAAUGGGCGAAAGCCUGACGGAGCAACGCCGCGUGAGUGAUGAAGGUCUUCGGAUCGUAAAACUCUGUUAUUAGGGAAGAACAUAUGUGUAAGUAACUGUGCACGUCUUGACGGUACCUAAUCAGAAAGCCACGGCUAACUACGUG
This 497-nucleotide ribosomal RNA is filed under the name uncultured bacterium. RNAcentral describes it as "partial 16S ribosomal RNA". It matches the Rfam family "Bacterial small subunit ribosomal RNA", at positions 28 to 507 of the family's 1533-position model. The record is from RNAcentral.